This 428-nucleotide ribosomal RNA is filed under the name uncultured bacterium. Its description in RNAcentral is "bacterial SSU rRNA". It matches the Rfam family "Bacterial small subunit ribosomal RNA", at positions 355 to 776 of the family's 1533-position model. The record is from RNAcentral.
UUUCGAAUCUUUCACAAUGGGCGCAAGCCUGAUGGAGCAACGCCGCGUGGGGGAUGACGGCCUUCGGGUUGUAAACCCCUGUCACCAAGGAUAAACCGUAGUCGGUUAAUACCCGGCUGCCUGAUGUAACUUGGAGAGGAAGGAGUGGCUAACUCUGUGCCAGCAGCCGCGGUAAUACAGAGACUCCAAGCGUUAUUCGGAUUCACUGGGCGUAAAGGGUGCGCAGGCGGCCGAGUGUGUCGGAGGUGAAAUCUUGCAGCUUAACUGUAAAAUUGCCUUCGAAACUACUCGGCUAGAGUAUCGGAGAGGAUAGCGGAAUUCCAGGUGUAGCAGUGAAAUGCGUAGAUAUCUGGAGGAACACCAAUGGCGAAGGCAGCUAUCUGGACGAUUACUGACGCUCAGGCACGAAAGCAUGGGGAGCGAAAGGG